GUCACCUUCGUCUAGUGGUUAGGACACCGGGUUUUCAUCCCGGCAACGGGGGUUCAAUUCCCCCAGGUGAUGCUA
RNAcentral lists this transfer RNA (75 nucleotides) under Spirochaetaceae bacterium. Its description in RNAcentral is "tRNA-Glu". It matches the Rfam family "tRNA". From Rfam's summary of the family: Transfer RNA (tRNA) molecules are approximately 80 nucleotides in length. Their secondary structure includes four short double-helical elements and three loops (D, anti-codon, and T loops). The record is from RNAcentral. Lineage: Bacteria; Pseudomonadati; Spirochaetota; Spirochaetia; Spirochaetales; Spirochaetaceae.